UACGUAGGGUCCGAGCGUUGUCCGGAAUUAUUGGACGUAAAGAGCUCGUAGGCGGUUUGUCGCGUCUGCUGUGAAAUCCCGAGGCUCAACCUCGGGCCUGCAGUGGGUACGGGCAGACUGGAGUGCGGUAGGGGAGAAUGGAAUUCCUGGUGUAGCGGUGGAAUGCGCAGAUAUCAGGAGGAACACCGGUGGCGAAGGCGGGUCUCUGGGCAGUAACUGACGCUGAGGAGCGAAAGCGUGGGGAGCGAACAGG
This 253-nucleotide ribosomal RNA is filed under the name uncultured bacterium. Its description in RNAcentral is "partial 16S ribosomal RNA". It matches the Rfam family "Bacterial small subunit ribosomal RNA", at positions 524 to 776 of the family's 1533-position model. The record is from RNAcentral.